AUGCUUGGGAAUCUGGCUUAUGGAGGGGGAUAACUGUGGGAAACUGCAGCUAAUACCGCGUAAUCUCUGAGGAGUAAAGGGUGGGACCUAUUGGCCACCUGCCAUAAGAUGAGCCCAAGUGGGAUUAGGUAGUUGGUGGGGUAAAGGCCUACCAAGCCUGCGAUCUCUAGCUGGUCUGAGAGGAUGACCAGCCACACUGGAACUGAGACACGGUCCAGACUCCUACGGGAGGCAGCAGUGGGGAAUAUUGCGCAAUGGGGGGAACCCUGACGCAGCCAUGCCGCGUGAAUGAAGAAGGCCUUCGGGUUGUAAAGUUCUUUCGGUAAUGAGGAAGGGAUGUUGUUAAAUAGAUGGCAUCAUUGACGUUAAUUACAGAAGAAGCACCGGCUAACUCCGUGCCAGCAGCCGCGGUAAUACGGAGGGUGCGAGCGUUAAUCGGAAUAACUGGGCGUAAAGGGCACGCAGGCGGACUUUUAAGUGAGAUGUGAAAUCCCCGAGCUUAACUUGGGAAUUGCAUUUCAGACUGGG
RNAcentral lists this ribosomal RNA (528 nucleotides) under Pasteurella multocida. RNAcentral describes it as "bacterial SSU rRNA". It matches the Rfam family "Bacterial small subunit ribosomal RNA", at positions 113 to 637 of the family's 1533-position model. The record is from RNAcentral. Lineage: Bacteria; Pseudomonadati; Pseudomonadota; Gammaproteobacteria; Pasteurellales; Pasteurellaceae.